Hevea brasiliensis (rubber tree) is the source of this 1393-nucleotide long non-coding RNA. RefSeq lists it as uncharacterized. Lineage: Eukaryota; Viridiplantae; Streptophyta; Magnoliopsida; Malpighiales; Euphorbiaceae. The record is from RefSeq and is a predicted model, not a curated record. The transcript is spliced from 3 exons.
UACAAAUUAAUUUUAGGCGGACGGUUAAGAAAUCGACAAUGUAUCAUUCCUUCACAUUCAAUGAAAAUCUGCACAAUUUCCCUGGACAAAUGGUGAGAUUGGUAGCUGAUAACAGGCAACCCACUCUAUAUAAUUACCCUUUGCUUUCCAUCCUUACAUCAUGGAGCUGUAAGUACGUACAAUAGCUUGCAUAAUUUGCACCACAAUAAUGGAGAGGCGCACAUCAUUAUUGCACACACUCCCAGUUCACUAUAAAGGCCACCAAUGGCCUGCGACAGAACUCCAUCACGCGCCUAAUUAAGCCACAUAGAAAGUGACCCUCCACUUCACCUGUGCACAUACAGGUUUUGAUUAUGCUGGGAAUAAUGCCGCAGCAUAUUUCCCUCCUUCAAACACCGCCACCCACCCUACAGAGCCAGUCAAGAAUUCUGUGGCACUGAAGGAAACCCCACCGCCACCACCUAUUGUGGCGCCUCCAGACAUAGGGAAAUGGAACUUGGAAAGCUGGCCAGCAGAAAAGGUAUUGCAGCUACCAGAGUACCCGAAUGAUUAUAAGCGUGAAUCGGGUGUUCCCACGAUCAGUUUGGCCUGGAGAAGUAAGAAUUCUAGAGGAUAAAAGCUUAUUGCCAAGCUUCAGUAACGCUCAACUUUCUUAGGGUCUUUGCCACUGGAGGUAUGCUUCAUUGCAGAGAGUUACCAAGUGGAAUAUUGAUUUUGUGGAGCACAGCAAGUAGGGAGACGGGUACAAGAACUGGCUACUCACAGCAGAACAUCCAACCAUGAGAACAACUUAUUUAUUUUGAAGAAAGGAAAUUUCAUACUUAGACCUAGACCAAGAUAGAAAACACGUGGAAUCCCACCAUACAUUUGCUCUCUUGGUCCAUAUAAUGUACCUGCGAAGAAAAAUCUAAUUUACAAAGAAUUAAUAUCUGUGGAUUACUGGAGGAUUGCAGGCAAGCGACAAAAUGGAUCAAAAAGAGCAGUUCAACUGAUUGAAAUUGAAUCCUAACAAGGCAGGGAGGACAAGCAUCAUGUGUAGAAUAGGCGGUCACAAGUUAAAGAGUGAAGCUUCCGCCCCUGAUCAGAGCACUGCGCAGGGCUGGAGGGUGUGAUCCAGUGCAUGGGAAUAGAAUGAACAUUUUGUCGAGGAUACACUGAAUUGAGAAAUCUCGCAUAAAUAAGUAUAGACUGAGGUGCAAGAAAGCAUUCUUUCAAGUCCAUAGAGGAAGCUAUCCUGGAGAAAUUCACCUGGUGAUGAUUGCACUGGAGAGUCACAGAUAAGCCCAGAGAACUGUUAUCGAACGAUCACGAUUCACGUUAUCUGAUCAUCAAACCUAGAUUUCAUACCCCAUAGUUCAACCAUUCAUGAGCUAAAUCCCAUUAAUCAUCCAAG